AUCUAAAUAGUUUAAUUAAAAUUCUAGUCUGUGAUUCUAGAGAUGCAUAGGUUUGCUUUGGAUU
This 64-nucleotide transfer RNA is filed under the name Chrysochroa fulgidissima. RNAcentral's name for it is "tRNA-His". The record is from RNAcentral. Lineage: Eukaryota; Metazoa; Arthropoda; Insecta; Coleoptera; Buprestidae.